AUUGAACGCUGGCGGCAUGCCUUACACAUGCAAGUCGAACGGCAGCACGGGUGCUUGCACCUGGUGGCGAGUGGCGAACGGGUGAGUAAUAUAUCGGAACGUACCGUAUUGUGGGGGAUAACGCAGCGAAAGCUGUGCUAAUACCGCAUAAUCCCUUAGGGGGAAAGCGGGGGACCGUAAGGCCUCGCGCAAUUAGAGCGGCCGAUACCUGAUUAGCUAGUUGGUGAGGUAAAGGCUCACCAAGGCGACGAUCAGUAGCUGGUCUGAGAGGACGAGCAGCCACACUGGGACUGCGACACGGCCCAGACUCCUACGGGAGGCAGCAGUGGGGGAUUUUGGACAAGGGGGGCAACCCUGAUCCAGCAAUGCCGCGUGAGUGAAGAAGGCCUUCGGGUUGUAAAGCUCUUUUGUCAGGGAAGAAACAGCAGCUCUAACACAGUAUGCGAAUGACGAUACCUGAAGAAUAAGCACCGGUUAACUACGUGCCAGCCGCCGCAGUAA
RNAcentral lists this ribosomal RNA (501 nucleotides) under uncultured bacterium. RNAcentral describes it as "partial 16S ribosomal RNA". It matches the Rfam family "Bacterial small subunit ribosomal RNA", at positions 30 to 523 of the family's 1533-position model. The record is from RNAcentral.